RNAcentral lists this transfer RNA (88 nucleotides) under Thermoplasmatales archaeon. RNAcentral describes it as "tRNA-Leu". It matches the Rfam family "tRNA". Rfam says of the family: Transfer RNA (tRNA) molecules are approximately 80 nucleotides in length. RNAcentral also lists the same sequence under 1 other name. The record is from RNAcentral. Lineage: Archaea; Methanobacteriati; Thermoplasmatota; Thermoplasmata; Thermoplasmatales.
GCCGGAGUUGCCAAGCCUGGUCAAAGGCGAUGGACUCAAGAUCCAUUCCCGAAGGGGUUCACCGGUUCGAAUCCGGUCUCCGGCACCA